This 80-nucleotide transfer RNA is filed under the name Methanobrevibacter sp. Its description in RNAcentral is "tRNA-Gly". It matches the Rfam family "tRNA". Rfam says of the family: Transfer RNA (tRNA) molecules are approximately 80 nucleotides in length. Their secondary structure includes four short double-helical elements and three loops (D, anti-codon, and T loops). Further hydrogen bonds mediate the characteristic L-shaped molecular structure. tRNAs have two regions of fundamental functional importance: the anti-codon, which is responsible for specific mRNA codon recognition, and the 3' end, to which the tRNAs corresponding amino acid is attached (by aminoacyl-tRNA synthetases). tRNAs cope with the degeneracy of the genetic code in two manners: having more than one tRNA (with a specific anti-codon) for a particular amino acid; and 'wobble' base-pairing, i.e. permitting non-standard base-pairing at the 3rd anti-codon position. The record is from RNAcentral. Lineage: Archaea; Methanobacteriati; Methanobacteriota; Methanobacteria; Methanobacteriales; Methanobacteriaceae.
GCAUCAGUCGCCUAGUGGUCUAUGGCGCCUGCCUUCCAAGCAGGAAAUUAUCGCGGGUUCGAAUCCCGCCUGGUGCUCCA